RNAcentral lists this long non-coding RNA (1392 nucleotides) under Serinus canaria (Common canary). RNAcentral describes it as "lncRNA (ENSSCAG00000001573.1)". The record is from RNAcentral. Lineage: Eukaryota; Metazoa; Chordata; Aves; Passeriformes; Fringillidae.
AAAGGGCCCAAAUCCCAAAGAUCCCAAAUCCCAGAGGGCCCUUCCCAAAUCCCAAAGACCCCAAAUCCCAAAGAUCCCAAAUCCCAGAGGGCCCUUCCCAAAUCCCAAAGAUCCCAAAUCCCAAAGAUCCCAAAUCCCAGAGGGCCCUUCCCAAAUCCCAAAGAUCCCAAAUCCCAAAGAUCCCAAAUCCCAGAGGGCCCUUCCCAAAUCCCAAACCUCUCCAAAACCUCUCUCCUACCCCCCCAAAAAACCCCAAACCUCUCCCCAAAUCCCGAAUUUCCCUAAUUGAGUUUUUGUUUUAUGUUUGAAUUUUUUGUUGUAUUUUUGCAGCUCUCGCUGUUCCCGUUCCGGCCCCUCCCUUUCCCAGGAGGUUCCCAAGGAUGAUCCCGAGGCUCUGGAAAUUCCCAAAAUUCCAGUUCCUCUUCCACAUUCCCCAGAACCAGCCCAGAAUUCCCAAAAUUCCCCCCUGGCUUUUCCUGGGGGGUUCCAGCCCCGAAAUUCUGCAGCCCCACAGCAGAGGGAGGAGGAGCCGGGAGCUGAGGCACAGAAUGAAGGCUCAGAUUCUGUCAUUUUGCUCAAAGUCAAGGAUUCCAAGACUCCAGCUCCAAGCCUCCCCUUUUUCCAGGCCGAGCUGUGGAUUAAAGAGCUGACAAGUGUUUAUGAUUCCCGAGCCAGAGAGAGGUGGAGACAAAUCGAGGAGCAGAAAGCUCUGGCCCUGCAGCUCCAGAGCCAGGUGAGACUUGGGGAAAAAAAAAAAACCCUGGAAUGGCAAAAAUGGGGGAAAAAAGUGAAAAAACAGGGAAAAAAAUCAAAUUUUUGAACUCUUUGACAGCCAAGAAAAGAGGGAAUAUUAUCCCAGAGUGGGAAGGAGCUCAGGGAUUGGAAAAGGAGGCAGGAUCUGUGGGAAUGGGGGGAAAAAAUGCAGAUUUGGCACUAGGAAAGGUUGAAUUCCAUCAUUCCAGAGGUUUUUCCUGAUUUUAUUGAUCCUAAAUCCAAGAAAUGGGGGAAAAAAUGCAGAUUUGGCACUUGGAAAGGUUGAAUUCCAUCAUUCCAGAGGUUUUUCCUGAUUUUAUUGAUCCUAAAUCCAAGAAAUGGGGGAAAAAAUGCAGAUUUGGCACUUGGAAGGGUUGAAUUCCAUCAUUCCAGAUGUUUUCCUCAAUUUUCUUGGUCCUAAAUUGUAGAAAUGGGGAAAGAAAUGUAGAUUUGGCAUUUGGAAGGGUUGAAUUCCAUCAUUCCAGAGGUUUUUCCUGAUUUUAUUGAUCCUAAAUCCUGGAAAUGGGAGAGAAAAAAUGCAGAUGUGGCUCUGGAAGGGUUGAAUUCCAUCAUUCCAGAAGUUUUUCCCAAUUUUAUUGAUCCUAAAUCCUGGAAAUGGGGGAAAAAAUGCAGAUUUGG